GACAGAGGCCUCAAGCGUUAGGCGGAAUCACUGGGCUUAAAGCGUGUGUAGGCGGAUCGUUAAGUGUCUUGUGAAAUCCCACGGCUCACCCGUGGAACUGCUGGGCAUACUGGCGAUCUUGGGCCAACUAGGGGCAACUGGAACAAGCGGUGGAGCGGUGAAAUGUGUAGAUAUCGCUUGGAACGCCGAAGGUGAAAACAGGUUGCUGGGGUUGUGCCGACGCUGAGACACGAAAGCCAGGGGAGCAAACGGG
This 253-nucleotide ribosomal RNA is filed under the name uncultured bacterium. RNAcentral's name for it is "partial 16S ribosomal RNA". It matches the Rfam family "Bacterial small subunit ribosomal RNA", at positions 524 to 776 of the family's 1533-position model. The record is from RNAcentral.